AUUGAACGCUGGCGGCAUGCCUUACACAUGCAAGUCGAACGAGUGUAGCAAUACACAAGUGGCGAACGGGUGAGUAAUGCAUCGGAACGUAUCCUAUUGUGGGGGAUAACGUAGCGAAAGUUACGCUAAUACCGCAUAAGACCUGAGGGUGAAAGCGGGGGAUCUUCGGACCUCGCGCGAUAGGGGCGGCCGAUGUCGGAUUAGCUAGUAGGUGGGGUAAAGGCUUACCUAGGCGACGAUCCGUAGCGGGUCUGAGAGGAUGAUCCGCCACACUGGGACUGAGACACGGCCCAGACUACUACGGGAGGCAGCAGUGGGGAAUUUUGGACAAUGGGCGCAAGCCUGAUCCAGCCAUGCCGCGUGAGUGAAGAAGGCCUUCGGGUUGUAAAGCUCUUUCGGACGGAAAGAAAUUGCUUCGGAUAAUACCUGGAGUAGAUGACGGUACCGUAAGAAGAAGCACCGGCUAACUACGUGCCAGCAGCCGCCGUAA
Molecule: ribosomal RNA, 490 nt
Filed under: uncultured bacterium
Lineage: Bacteria
Description: partial 16S ribosomal RNA
Rfam family: Bacterial small subunit ribosomal RNA
Source: RNAcentral